GCCCCCGUAGCUCAGUGGAUAGAGCAGCGGUCUACGGAACCGCGUGCGCUGGUUCGAUUCCAGUCGGGGGCU
This 72-nucleotide transfer RNA is filed under the name Verrucosispora sp. WMMC514. Its description in RNAcentral is "tRNA-Arg". It matches the Rfam family "tRNA". Rfam says of the family: Transfer RNA (tRNA) molecules are approximately 80 nucleotides in length. Their secondary structure includes four short double-helical elements and three loops (D, anti-codon, and T loops). Lineage: Bacteria; Bacillati; Actinomycetota; Actinomycetes; Micromonosporales; Micromonosporaceae. The record is from RNAcentral. RNAcentral also lists the same sequence under 1 other name.